RNAcentral lists this transfer RNA (71 nucleotides) under Loxodonta africana (African savanna elephant). It matches the Rfam family "tRNA". From Rfam's summary of the family: Transfer RNA (tRNA) molecules are approximately 80 nucleotides in length. Their secondary structure includes four short double-helical elements and three loops (D, anti-codon, and T loops). Lineage: Eukaryota; Metazoa; Chordata; Mammalia; Proboscidea; Elephantidae. The record is from Rfam by way of RNAcentral.
GCAAUGGUGAUUCAGCGAUAGAAUGCUCGCCUUCCAUGUUGGAGACCUGGGUUCGAUUCCUGGACAAUGCA